This 305-nucleotide ribosomal RNA is filed under the name uncultured bacterium. RNAcentral's name for it is "bacterial SSU rRNA". It matches the Rfam family "Bacterial small subunit ribosomal RNA", at positions 337 to 659 of the family's 1533-position model. The record is from RNAcentral.
UCCUACGGGGGGCAGCAGUGGGGAAUAUUGCACAAUGGGGGAAACCCUGAUGCAGCGACGCCGCGUGAGUGGAGAAGUAAUUCGUUAUGUAAAGCUCUAUCAGCAGGGAAGAAAAUGACGGUACCUGAGUAAGAAGCCCCGGCUAACUACGUGCCAGCAGCCGCGGUAAUACGUAGGUGGCGAGCGUUAUCCGGAAUGAUUGGGCGUAAAGGGUGCGCAGGCGGUCCUGCAAGUCUGGAGUGAAACGCAUGAGCUCAACUCAUGCAUGGCUUUGGAAACUGGAGGACUGGAGAGCAGGAGAGGGG